AUGAAACGGGAGAACAAAGAAAACAAUAGUGAGACCGCGAGACUGAGACAUUAGGCACUGAGCAAGUGAGCGACUGUGCAAGGGAAGAAGAAAGGGGCAACGAGGGUAAUCUUCACGUAGCAAAAUGACGUCGUUCCUAUUUCGAGGAACACCAUUGUUUAAGUUAAGAAAAAAAAUUAUAAAUUUAAAAUGACAUCAUUUUGAAAAUGUAUUUUUAUGAAAAAGUCAAAGUUAAAGUUCGGAGUUGGGCUCGAACUCGGACUCCAUUUUUAGAGUCUUUCUAAUUCCGACUCUGAAUUUUGAUUAUUCUGACAAAAUUCCAUUGAAGCCGGGAUUGGAAUGAAGUUCGGUCGGAGUCAAAAUUUUUAAAAAUUUGCACAGCCCUAAUUUGAGGAUGAGAAUCAUGGGUUGCGUUGGGCUCCAAAUUCCUAAAAGCAACGUAUGGACGGAAAAAGAAUAACUUAUCCAUCAAGUCAUAUACCAGAGAAAAACAGAGAAAGAAAAGAGAGAGAUGAGAAGAGAAGGAAGAGAAUGAUGAAGGCUGCUUCAGCUUUAUGAUGAAUUUUUGUUUUCUUUUUUUUUUUUUGGUUUUUGUCCUUUUUAUUUUUUUAUUCCACAUAAACUCUUCCGAUUUCCUCCGCUUGCGCAUGCCAUUUGUACUGCUCCCAAAACGUAACCUAAUUGGAGCACCAAGUUUGUGCGGUGCAGGAAGACGAGGAACGAACGGUGGUGAAUUCCUUGUCCGAUUUCAUCUUUGACUAGGGCUGCCUCUCUCUCAGUUUCCGAUUCUUGACGGUGAAAUCUCAUAAUCUCUAAGUCAUAGCUGAAGUGGACGAACCGGAAACCAGUAUGGAACCUUCGAUCCAGGUGGUGGGUCAAGGAAGGGGUGGAGGGUUUGGAAGAAAA
Long non-coding RNA from Carya illinoinensis, 906 nucleotides. RefSeq lists it as uncharacterized. The transcript has 2 exons. The record is from RefSeq and is a predicted model, not a curated record. NCBI's taxonomy places the organism in Eukaryota, Viridiplantae, Streptophyta, Magnoliopsida, Fagales, Juglandaceae.